Molecule: long non-coding RNA, 1709 nt
Organism: Scophthalmus maximus (turbot)
Lineage: Eukaryota; Metazoa; Chordata; Actinopteri; Pleuronectiformes; Scophthalmidae
Exons: 5
Source: RefSeq, a predicted model, not a curated record
UACGUGCAUUAGACUAAUUAACAUACAGACAGUAGAUGUCACAAGAUGUUCUGUUCAGACCAAAUUUAGCCUAGGACAGCAAAAUAAUUACACAAUAACGAUUACGAUAAGUCCAGACACAUAGUCAGGCGGUUCACCCACGUACAGACCGCACCCACCAUGCGGGAUGAAUAGCAAAUGAACUAUUGUACCAGGUUCCUGUCCUCUGCGCGAUCCAGCCCUGGUUGGUGACUCGUGAGACAGAAACCCAAAGACUCUGUAAGUAUUGUUAUUGCUUGGAGCAAAUAAACAUGAUUUGAUUGAAUGCAUUGAACUCAUGACUGUUUUCUCCCUCUGAAUAAACGAACACACGGCGAGGACAUGGCCGAGGUCUAGGACGAGAAUCCUGCCGAACAGUGGCCGCUGGGCAAGUUAUGUAAUCGGUGUGUGCCUCAACACAGUAACACCGGCAUCUGCGGCAACCCUGACGCUGCCGGAAAUGGAAAUGACGGUUCGCCAUCAAGAAGGGUCCCCUGCCAGGUGCUCAGUUGGUUGCGGUUUGCAACUCUACCAGCAGAUGCUGCCAGAAAACGACUGAUUGCAUCUGAAGAUGAAGACAGCUCUGGACAUGAAGACAGCCCAACCAAGCCCCUGAAGAAACUGUCAAGGCAGUUUUUCCCGAAUCAGGACACUCAGAGGAAAUUGAACGUUUUUCCAACGCAUCCCCAAUGGCAUAAUGAGCUGGAAGUUACCUCAUGAAGGGAUCAAAUUGGGGAUUUUCCCAAAAGUAGUAGACCUCAGUACGAUGGAGGAACCCAACAAAGAGGGCCAUGACUCCCAUUGACUCAGCACUCCUCACCUCCCUCUUAUGGGCAACCAGAUCUGAUGUAAACACACCAGCACCAGGUAUCACAACGUUGUCCUGGAUCUGGCUGUAGACAGAAAUACCAUCCUCCUCAAUGAACCGUUGCAAAAAAGACUGGCACAUGCUGGAGUAAUAAGUUGCUGACUCUCGCGAGGGAAAAGUCAGCGGCAAACACUGUGCAGAACCGCUGCAAGCCUGGAUAUUUCAGCAACUUAACUGUGCCCAUCUGUUGAGAUUGCGAGGAGUCUAUCCAGAAAGAGGUCCCAGCAGAAACCCAGUCGGGAAUCGGUCACCGAGCCCGUGUGCCACAGAUCCGUCACUACACUCUACACUUUGAGUGCCCAGAACACAUCGUGUCGAUGAACUUAAGGUUGCCCACUUGUUAACAACGUUUGGUUGGUAGAUCAGACAAAUAAUCAAACAAACAAAAAACAUGAUAUUAACAACCCAAAAAAAGGACCGUUUUGUUGACCAUAACAUGCCAAUUUGGCUGCAUACAUUAGUCAGGCAAUAGAUCCAGUGUAGCCACAAACCACUGGUUUCAUGAAUUAAAGAUGCAGUUCCAUUAAAGACAACAACAGUCCCCUUGUCUCUAACACAAAACACAGUGUGUAAACAGGCAAAGGUGCACUGCCCUACCCAACCCACAUAUUUCAUUCACUUCAGUCUGACACUUUAAAUAAUGGAAAUCCAGCUGUAACAAGGUGUUCAGGCACUUACUGAUAACAUAAUUUGCCCACGUCAUCAUUUUUGUGCAUUGGUGAGCCCAGGUUAAUCAAAUAAACAAUAGCUAAUUUGUAGUACUGGAGUCUUAGUGAUGAGUGGAGAGUAGGCAAAAGGCUUCUGGUAAUUGCUUUGAUGUCAA